RNAcentral lists this ribosomal RNA (292 nucleotides) under uncultured bacterium. RNAcentral describes it as "partial 16S ribosomal RNA". It matches the Rfam family "Bacterial small subunit ribosomal RNA", at positions 505 to 796 of the family's 1533-position model. The record is from RNAcentral.
GUGCCAGCCGCCGCGGUAAUACGGAGGGUGCAAGCGUUAUUCGGAAUUAUUGGGCGUAAAGCGCGUGUAGGCGGGGAGGCAAGUCUGAUGUGAAAGCCCCGGGCUUAACCCGGGAAGUGCAUUGGAAACUGCAUCUCUUGAGUACUGGAGAGGAAGGGGGAAUUCCCGGUGUAGAGGUGAAAUUCGUAGAGAUCGGGAGGAAUACCAGUGGCGAAGGCGCCCUUCUGGACGGUUACUGACGCUGAGACGCGAAAGCGUGGGGAGCAAACAGGAUUAGAUACCCUGGUAGUCC